RNAcentral lists this long non-coding RNA (779 nucleotides) under Mus musculus (house mouse). RNAcentral's name for it is "RIKEN cDNA 1700011B04 gene". The record is from RNAcentral. Lineage: Eukaryota; Metazoa; Chordata; Mammalia; Rodentia; Muridae.
UGGCUACACUGGGCAAAGGGAUGUCUCUUAUCUUGGAUGGGAACAGGACAGUGACUAAGGAGUUGUGGGUUCAUCUAAACUCAUUUGGCUGAUAGAAGAACAGUGGAGGUCCUGCACACAGCAAGCACCAGGCUCAGAGGCAAGGGGACUGCGGAGUUUUCAGGAACUAUGAAGAAGCUUUGGAGAGAAGAGAAAUGACAGGAGGAAUGUUUCAAGCUAGAAGAAGCUGCUACAUAACAGCAAAGACUCAGCAUGGGUGGAUGGACAAAGAAAAAACUGGUUCAUCUUGAGAGUUAGACAGUUUCAAUUGGGAUAAUGAUGAAGUUUCUUUUGCCUUAAUCCUUUUGAACAAUGAGACAACAACGAUGACGACGAUGACACCACCACCACCACCAACAACAACAACUCUAUGUGGGGCCAGAGAGCUAUGGGACUGAGAGGAGCAGCCGUGGAGCAAGAGUGGGGUGGAGGCAAUUCAAACCCCUGAAAUCUCAUCCUGAGAUCUGUAGAAGUAGGAAUACUGCCGCCUCUGCCCCAGGCCUGUAUGUACCUGUGCACGCAGUCCAGUGCCCCCCACCCUUACCUUACCAGAGGAGGUCAAGUAGCCAGUGGCCAAUUUAAACUUCCUUUCCCCUUAUAAGUCAUGUGCAGCAGCACCUGGAAUUCCUCCUUAUGCAAAUGAGGCAUCCCCAGCCAAUGAGGUACACUCACCCUGAUAGCCCGCCCCUCAAAGCUUUUUUCCUCCUUCCACAAUAAACUGAAUCAGUCUCUGAAGCUAA